UUUAGUUCCAGAGGGAGAAAUGCUUCCAGCAGAAGACACAGUACUUCUAUCGAACUGCACAUUGACACUAUCACCCAGCUCCAAGGGGCUCCUCAUAUGCUUCUGAAGUAACAGACAAGCAAGGAAGGUUUGAUGUUGACUGGCAUAAUUAAUCUUGACUGACAACAGAAAAGUGGACUAUUAUUCCACAGUGGAGAUGGAGUCUCGCUCUCUCGCCCUGGCUGGAUGUAGUGCAGUGGCACCAACUUGGCUCACUGCAACCUCCACCUCCUGGGCUUCAAGCAAUUCUCCCUGCCUCAGACUCCCAAGUAGGGAUUACAGGUGCACGUCACCACGCCUCACUAAUUUUGUAUUCUUUAGUAGAGAUGCGGUUUUGUCAUGUUGGCCAGGCUAGUCUCAAACUCCUGACCUCAGGUGAUCCACCUGUCUCGGCCUCCCAAAGUGCUGGGAUUAUAGGCAUGAGACACCGUGCCCGGACCAGAAAUUUAUUUUAAAUUCAUUAAAAUAGUUACUUAAACUCCAACAAGAUGACAUUUUUUCUUUUAUCCAUGAAUGUGAUUAAUUCUCAAAAUAUAUAUUCUAAUGUUAGAUCAUGUUGCAUUUUAGAUGUUUCCAUUUGUUCAUGUGUUUUAUAUUUUACAUGAAUGUACAUUCUAUCCAGUAAUAAUUUAUGAUGUUAUAAGUGAAUCUGCCACAGAUAUUUCUGUCAUGCUUUGUGAGAUUUUCACAUCCGAGUCAUACCAUAUUUAUAAAGAAAGAUCUGG
This 764-nucleotide long non-coding RNA is filed under the name Homo sapiens (human). RNAcentral describes it as "HSALNT0284324". Lineage: Eukaryota; Metazoa; Chordata; Mammalia; Primates; Hominidae. The record is from RNAcentral.